UGUGGUUACAAUAGCAGAGAGGAUACACCUGUUCCCAUUCCGAACACAGAAGUUAAGCUCUCUAGCGCUGAUGGUACUUGGUGGGA
This 86-nucleotide ribosomal RNA is filed under the name Clostridioides difficile. Lineage: Bacteria; Bacillati; Bacillota; Clostridia; Peptostreptococcales; Peptostreptococcaceae. The record is from RNAcentral.